GAUGAACGUUAGCGGCAGGCCUAAUACAUGCAAGACGAACGGUAAGUUGAGUAGCAAUACUUAGCCAAGAGUGUCGUACGGGUGCGUAACACGUAUGCAACCUACCCUAUACAGGAGGAUAGCCUAGGGAAACCUGGAUUAACCCUUCAUAGUAUUAUUGGAUGGCAUCAUUUGAUAAUUAAAACUGAGGUGGUAUAGGAUGGGCAUGCGUCUGAUUAGUUAGUUGGCGGGGUAAUGGCCCACCAAGACGAUGAUCAGUAGGGGUUCUGAGAGGAAGAUCCCCCACACUGGCACUGAGAUACGGGCCAGACUCCUACGGGAGCAGCAGUAGGGAAUAUUGGUCAAUGGAUGCAAGUCUGAACCAGCCAUGCCGCGUGCAGGAAGAAGGGCCUUCUGGGUUGUAAACUGCUUUUGCCAGGGGAUAAAAUUACCAUGCGUGGAAAACUGAAGGUACCUGGUGAAUAAGCCACGGCUAACUACGUGCCAGCAGCCGCGGUAAU
This 500-nucleotide ribosomal RNA is filed under the name uncultured bacterium. Its description in RNAcentral is "bacterial SSU rRNA". It matches the Rfam family "Bacterial small subunit ribosomal RNA", at positions 28 to 524 of the family's 1533-position model. The record is from RNAcentral.